This 275-nucleotide ribosomal RNA is filed under the name uncultured bacterium. RNAcentral's name for it is "partial 16S ribosomal RNA". It matches the Rfam family "Bacterial small subunit ribosomal RNA", at positions 60 to 339 of the family's 1533-position model. The record is from RNAcentral.
AGUCGAACGGUAACAGGUCUUCGGAUGCUGACGAGUGGCGAACGGGUGAGUAAUGCAUCGGAACGUGCCCAAUAGUGGGGGAUAGCCCGGCGAAAGCCGGAUUAAUACCGCAUACGACCUGAGGGUGAAAGGGGGGGAUCGCAAGACCUCUCGCUAUUGGAGCGGCCGAUGUCAGAUUAGCUAGUUGGUGGGGUAAAGGCCUACCAAGGCAACGAUCUGUAGUUGGUCUGAGAGGACGACCAGCCACACUGGGACUGAGACACGGCCCAGACUCC